GGGCCCGUGGCGUAGCCAGGAUAACGCGCUGGCCCUCUAAGCCGGAGAUCCUGGGUUCAACUCCCAGCGGGCCCGCCA
This 78-nucleotide transfer RNA is filed under the name Candidatus Bathyarchaeota archaeon. RNAcentral describes it as "tRNA-Arg". It matches the Rfam family "tRNA". From Rfam's summary of the family: Transfer RNA (tRNA) molecules are approximately 80 nucleotides in length. Their secondary structure includes four short double-helical elements and three loops (D, anti-codon, and T loops). RNAcentral also lists the same sequence under 1 other name. The record is from RNAcentral. Lineage: Archaea; Thermoproteati; Candidatus Bathyarchaeota.